This 330-nucleotide ribosomal RNA is filed under the name uncultured eukaryote. RNAcentral describes it as "partial 18S ribosomal RNA". It matches the Rfam family "Eukaryotic small subunit ribosomal RNA", at positions 1470 to 1796 of the family's 1831-position model. The record is from RNAcentral.
CCCUUAGAUGUUCUGGGCCGCACGCGCGCUACACUGAUGCAUUCAACGAGUCUAAAACCUGGUCUGAUAGGGCUGGGUAAUCUUUUGAAAGUGCAUCGUGAUUGGGAUAGAUGAUUGCAAUUCUUCAUCUUCAACGAGGAAUGCCUAGUAAACGCAAGUCAUCAGCUUGCAUUGAUUACGUCCCUGCCCUUUGUACGCACCGCCCGUCGCUCCUACCGAUUGAAUGAUCCGAUGAAUACCAUGGAUUGAGAGUACGAAUGGGUUCGCUCAUUUCUGCUGCUCGAGAAGUGGAGUAAAUCUUAUCAUUUAGAGGAAGGAGAAGUCGUAACA